Molecule: non-coding RNA, 813 nt
Organism: Lonchura striata (white-rumped munia)
Lineage: Eukaryota; Metazoa; Chordata; Aves; Passeriformes; Estrildidae
Source: RefSeq, a predicted model, not a curated record
GCUGCGUCACGGCCCGCCCGGACUGCGCCGGGGGACAGGUUUGAGUGUGGCACCGAGGCACCCGCGCUGUGCCGGGGGACAGAAUUGUGUUGUCAAGUGAAUUGCUGGCAGGAGGCAGACGUGCCUGGCUGGAAGAUUUUCAUGUGGCUGGUGAAUCAGCUCGAAAAUGUAAAAAGAGGUUUUGCUAAUCCACUUAUUGUGCCUUAUGGUGUUCAGCGUGGAAGCUGCAGGGCAGGGACAUUCCUCAGGGCUGGAAUGGCUACUGGAGCACCGGGGGCUGCUCUCACAUGCAGCUCAUUCAAGGAGGUCGUCGUGUUACACCAGUCACGGAACUGCAAUGACAGCUUUUGAUCUAAGCCCUGUCAAAUUCCAGUGAAAUAUGUCUUAGGGGUUGGAUGUGUCCACCUGGCCCAGACUCCUCAUUCUGGGGCUGUUUCAGAACCUGCAGAGAUGCUAUUCUUUUUUGCCAGCUUUUCCUGCCAAUAUAGAGAUGACUCAGAGGCAAAUCCUGAGGACCUUUCUCAGAAAUUUCUGAUUUUCUGCCAUCCCUCAGCUUUUAGCCAUUACUUUAGUCGCAACAAAAGGCAUGAUGGUACUUCAAAAGAAGUAAAGGACAUUUUCCAAAGCACUUACUAAUUCUGAAACAGAAGUGGGACUGCACUGAAAUAUAAUUGAUACACCAAGAAGACUGUUGGGAUUUCUGGGAGAAGCAUCUCUCUUUGGCUCACAGACAUGGUACCAGAUCACCAGCCAUUUAGAAGAGCUUGGAGCCGAACAGCACCACAGGGGAAGAUGCUGUCGCUACCCCCAGGC